AUUGAACGCUGGCGGCAUGCCUUACACAUGCAAGUCGAACGGCAGCAUGGGUGCUUGCACCUGGUGGCGAGUGGCGAACGGGUGAGUAAUAUAUCGGAACGUACCUUAUUGUGGGGGAUAACGCAGCGAAAGCUGUGCUAAUACCGCAUAAUCCCUAAGGGGGAAAGCGGGGGACCGUAAGGCCUCGCGCAAUUAGAGCGGCCGAUACCUGAUUAGCUAGUUGGUGAGGUAAAGGCUCACCAAGGCAACGAUCAGUAGCUGGUCUGAGAGGUCGACCAGCCACACUGGGACUGAGACACGGCCCAGACUCCUACGGGAGGCAGCAGUGGGGAAUUUUGGACAAUGGGGGCAACCCUGAUCCAGCAAUGCCGCGUGAGUGAAGAAGGCCUUCGGGUUGUAAAGCUCUUUUGUCAGGGAAGAAACAGCAGCUCUAACACAGUUUGCGAAUGACGGUACCUGAAUAAUAAGCACCGGCUAACUACGUGCCAGCAGCCGCCGUAA
RNAcentral lists this ribosomal RNA (501 nucleotides) under uncultured bacterium. RNAcentral describes it as "partial 16S ribosomal RNA". It matches the Rfam family "Bacterial small subunit ribosomal RNA", at positions 30 to 523 of the family's 1533-position model. The record is from RNAcentral.